UGUGCAAGUUAGUAAGGGUCCGGGGUGGAUGCCUCGGCUGCCCGAGGGGACGAAGGGCGUGUUAAGCUGCGAUAAGCCGGGUGGAGGCGCAAAAAGCCUGUGAGGCCCGGAUGCCCGAAUGGGGAAACCCGGCAGGGCGUUGAGCCCUGUCAUCCGCGCAAGCGGAGCCAAUACGGGACGAAGUAAAACCUUCUAGUAGUCCCAGGAAAGGAAAUCAAACGAGACUCCCCGAGUAGCGGCGAGCGAAAGGGGAUCAGCCCAAACCGUGCGGGUGCCAUGGUGGCAGCCUUAGCUCGCACGGGGUAGCGGGACGCAUCCGGAGAGGUCUGCCAGCCUCUCAGGGAGUUACAAAACUUCCACUUAGCCGAAGUGAGCUGGAACGCUCCGCCACAGAGGGUGAAAGCCCCGUAGGCUAAAAGUGAGAAGUCUCCUGGGGAUGCGAUCCCAAGUACCACGGCCCCCGUGGAAGGUCGUGGGAAUCAGGGGGGACCUCCCUCCAAGGCUAAGUACUACGGGCAGACCGAUAGCGCAUAGUACCGUGAGGGAAAGGUGAAAAGAACCCCGGAAGGGGAGUGAAAUAGAACCUGAAACCCCGGAUCCACAAGCCAGUGGAAGGGUCCUUGUGGCCCGACUGCGUGCCUUUUGCAGAAUGAGCCAGGGAGUUGUCCUCAGUGGCGAGGUUAAGCCGUAAGGCGAAGCCGUAGCGAAAGCGAGUCCGAAUAGGGCGCUUUAGUCGCUGGGGGCAGACGCGAAGCGGAACGAUCUACCCAUGCCCAGGGUGAAGGACGGGUAAUGCCGUCUGGAGGCCCGAACGGGUCGGUGCUGCAAAACCGUCCGAUGAGGUGUGGGUAGCGGUGAAAAGCCAAUCGCGUUCCGUGAUAGCUCGUUCUCCCCGAAAUAGGUCGACGCCUAGCGUCACCCGUUCCUUCUCGGAGGUAGAGCCACUGGUUGGGCUAGGGCCUCGAAAGGGGUACCGAACCCUGCCAAACUCCGAAUGCCGAGAUAGGUAGGGUGGCAGUCAGUCCCCGGGGGAUAAGCUCCGGAGGACAAGAGGGAAACAGCCCAGACCGCCAGCUAAGGUCCCAAAAUCCGGGCUAAGUGGGGAAGGAUGUGCGGCUGCUAAGACAGCUGGGAGGUUGGCUUAGAGGCAGCCAUCCUUUAAACAGUGCGUAACAGCUGACCGGCCGAGCGGCCGUGCGCCGAAAAUUUAGCGGGGCUCAAGCCCGGUACCGAAGCUGCGGGCUCGCUUAAAGGCGAGCGGUAGGGGAGCGUUCCCUGUGGGUUGAAGUCUCACCGUGAGGUGGGAUGGACUGCAGGGAAGUGAGAAUCCUGGCAUGAGUAGCAGCGAAGACAGGUGAGAAACCUGUCCGCCGGAAGCCCCAGGUUUUGGCGGCAAUGUAAAUCAGCCGCCAGUUAGCCGGGACCCUAAGGUGAGGCCGAAAGGCGUAGCCGAUGGGAAGCGGGUCAACAUUCCCGCGCCAGCGGUGUGGAGCCAGAGUCGUGACGCAGGAGGCUAGGGAGAGCCACCUAUGGAAUGGUGGUCUAAGGUAGUAGGAGGGGGUGGCAGGCAAAUCCGUCACCCCAUACUCCGAGAGCCGAUGGGGUAACUCUCCUGACGCCACACUGCCAAGAAACAACGGCGCUGGCGUUGAAGCAUCGCUGCCCGUACCGCAAACCGACACAGGUGGGCUGGGUUAGUAGCCUAAGGCGUCGGGGGAACUCUCCUCAAGGAACUCGGCAAAUUGCCCCCGUACCUUCGGAAGAAGGGGGGCCCGUGGGAGUGAAACCUUUACGGUGUAAGCUCUUGCGGGUCGCAGAGACCGGGCGGUGCCGACUGUUUAUCAAAAACACAGGACUACGCAAACCCGAAAGGGGAUGUAUGUGGUCUGAAGCCUGGCCAGUGCCCGUAGGUUAAGGGGAGGAGUGCAAGCUCCGAACCGAAGCCCGGGUAAACGCCGGCCGUAACUAUGACGGUCCUAAGGUAGCGAAAUUCCUUGUCGGGUAAGUACGGACUUGCCCGGGGUGAAGUUCCGACCUGCAUGAAUGGCCCAACGAGUGCCGCGCUGUCUCGAGGAGAGUCCCGGCGAAAUUGUAAUGCCGGUCAAGAUGCCGGCUACCCGCGGCAGGACGGAAAGACCCCGUGAAGCUUCACUGUAGUCUGGUACUGAGUCUUAGCCUGUCCUGCGCAGGAUAGGUGGGAGCCUGUGAAGUCCCUCCUCCGGGAGGGAUGGAGGCGCCGGUGAGAUACCACCCUGGACAGGCUGAGACCCUAACCCAGCGGAGUUAACCUCCGCGGGGACCGUGCCAGAUGGGCAGUUUAGCUGGGGCGGCUGCCUCCUAAAAGGUAACGGAGGCGUCCAAAGGUACCCUCAGGCGGGUCGGAAAUCCGCCGUAGAGUACAAGGGCAGAAGGGUGCCUGACUGUGAGGCCGACAGGCCGAGCAGAGGCGAAAGCCGGGCCUAGUGACCCACCGGUUCCUUGGGGAAGGGCCGGUGAUCAGCGGAUAAAAGCUACUCCGGGGAUAACAGGCUAAUCUCCCCCGAGAGCCCACAUCGACGGGGAGGUUUGGUACCUCGAUGUCGGCUCCCCCCAUCCUGGGGCUGAAGCAGGUCCCAAGGGUUGGGCUGUUCGCCCAUUAAAGGGGGACGCGAGCUGGGUUCAGAACGUCGCGAGACAGUUCGGUCCCUAUCCGCCGCGGGCGCAGGAGUCUUGAGAGGGUCCGUCCUUAGUACGAGAGGACCGGGACGGGGCAGGCUCUGGUGUACCGGUUAUCUCUCCAGAGGUAGCGCCGGGUAGCCAUCCUGCUACGGGAUAAGCGCUGAAAGCAUCUAAGCGCGAAGCCCACCUCAAGAUAAGGACUCCCUGAAGGGCCGUGGAAGACUACCACGUUGAUAGGCAGCAGGUGGAAGCUCCGUAAGGGGUGAAGCCAAGCUGUACUAAUAGCCCGUUCGGCUUGCACAC
Molecule: ribosomal RNA, 2961 nt
Filed under: Hydrogenobacter hydrogenophilus
Lineage: Bacteria; Pseudomonadati; Aquificota; Aquificia; Aquificales; Aquificaceae
Description: bacterial LSU rRNA
Rfam family: Bacterial large subunit ribosomal RNA
Source: RNAcentral